AAUCACCACACAUGCCCAAUAUGCACUUGACCUGUGAGACUCACCUAUGCACAGGGCUGCAUGUGAUUACAUCACAGCCUGAAUAAAAGGUGUGCCUUUGCUGUAUGGAGUUUGUCAUUGGGGCUCAUUCACAUCAUGUUGUAAGAGAAGACUUAAAGAUUUGUCUGUCACCAUCUCUCUGAGUGUGUGAAUCCACUGUGGGGAGCCAUGGAGAAGGUCUUUGCCUACAGAGCAUCUGUCUGAUUUCCUGUAGAAGACCUCUCUGCAAUCCCAGAUACAACUACCAUCAAGUCUGCCACCAUCAAGCCAAGGACAAUCAUCAUGGGACCAGCCAGAGCUCUCCUCCCCACACCCUGCCCCAGAUUACAUCCAGCCUGUGGGUCCAGACUCUGGUCUCCGCUCUUCAUUGACUUCAAGCCUGGGUGUUCAAGGGCCUGGGAACUCCAUGGCCUUAACCUCUUUGUAGGCCCGGGGACCCCUGUGGCAGCUCCUGCUGUCCCAUGCUUCAGACUGUCCUUUCCCAUCCCAAGCAGUGUCCCACGCCUUCCCUAUGGCCCAACACCCACCCUGGCAGCAGUGGCAUGAAGAAAGCAUAGUCAAACUCCUAGUAGAUGCAGGAACCACAACUUCACAUUUGAGAUUCUGUUCUGACUUCCUAUAAUGAUGGACAGUGAUAUGGAUGGGAAAGUGAAAUAAACCCUUUCCUCACCAA
Molecule: long non-coding RNA, 712 nt
Organism: Mastomys coucha (southern multimammate mouse)
Lineage: Eukaryota; Metazoa; Chordata; Mammalia; Rodentia; Muridae
Exons: 3
Source: RefSeq, a predicted model, not a curated record